Astatotilapia calliptera (eastern happy) is the source of this 282-nucleotide long non-coding RNA. The record is from Ensembl. Lineage: Eukaryota; Metazoa; Chordata; Actinopteri; Cichliformes; Cichlidae.
GAUAUUUUUACUUUUUUGUGUCUUGAUUUUGUUUCUGCUGCUAGAAUUUACAACAGGGGCACGUAGUUGGACAUUAAAGACUCAAUGGACAGCUACUUUGAGAGCUGGGACAGUUACAGGAAAACUUCUCCAUUUGUGUGUUCCUCACCUGAGUGAACGCUACUGUAAAUACCGGUGGGAAUAAAUCCAAAGAAAAGGAAAAGAGGAACCAGGGCUGGUGUCCAGAUGAGACUGACAAGGUACCGAAGGAAAACCAGCAGGAAUUUCCGAUGUUUACGUGAA